Molecule: ribosomal RNA, 382 nt
Filed under: uncultured Streptococcus sp.
Lineage: Bacteria; Bacillati; Bacillota; Bacilli; Lactobacillales; Streptococcaceae
Description: bacterial SSU rRNA
Rfam family: Bacterial small subunit ribosomal RNA
Source: RNAcentral
UUCUAGAGAUAGAAAGUUACUUCGGUACAUCGGUGACAGGUGGUGCAUGGUUGUCGUCAGCUCGUGUCGUGAGAUGUUGGGUUAAGUCCCGCAACGAGCGCAACCCCUAUUGUUAGUUGCCAUCAUUCAGUUGGGCACUCUAGCGAGACUGCCGGUAAUAAACCGGAGGAAGGUGGGGAUGACGUCAAAUCAUCAUGCCCCUUAUGACCUGGGCUACACACGUGCUACAAUGGUUGGUACAACGAGUUGCGAGUCGGUGACGGCGAGCUAAUCUCUUAAAGCCAAUCUCAGUUCGGAUUGUAGGCUGCAACUCGCCUACAUGAAGUCGGAAUCGCUAGUAAUCGCGGAUCAGCGCGCCGCGGUGAAUACGUUCCCGGGCCUU